AACCGCAUGGUUCAAAAGUGAAAGACGGUCUUGCUGUCACUUAUAGAUGGAUCCGCGCUGCAUUAGCUAGUUGGUAAGGUAACGGCUUACCAAGGCAACGAUGCAUAGCCGACCUGAGAGGGUGAUCGGCCACACUGGAACUGAGACACGGUCCAGACUCCUACGGGAGGCAGCAGUAGGGAAUCUUCCGCAAUGGGCGAAAGCCUGACGGAGCAACGCCGCGUGAGUGAUGAAGGUCUUCGGAUCGUAAAACUCUGUUAUUAGGGAAGAACAUAUGUGUAAGUAACUGUGCACAUCUUGACGGUACCUAAUCAGAAAGCCACGGCUAACUACGUGCCAGCAGCCGCGGUAAUACGUAGGUGGCAAGCGUUAUCCGGAAUUAUUGGGCGUAAAGCGCGCGUAGGCGGUUUUUU
Molecule: ribosomal RNA, 413 nt
Filed under: Staphylococcus aureus
Lineage: Bacteria; Bacillati; Bacillota; Bacilli; Caryophanales; Staphylococcaceae
Description: bacterial SSU rRNA
Rfam family: Bacterial small subunit ribosomal RNA
Source: RNAcentral